CGCGGCCUAUCAGCUUGUUGGUGGGGUAACGGCCCACCAAGGCUUGGACGGGUAGCUGGUCUGAGAGGACGAUCAGCCACACUGGGACUGAGACACGGCCCAGACUCCUACGGGAGGCAGCAGUAAGGAAUAUUGCGCAAUGGGCGAAAGCCUGACGCAGCAACGCCGCGUGCGGGAUGAAGGCCCUCGGGUUGUAAACCGCUUUCAGUAGGGAAGAAAAUGACGGUACCUACAGAAGAAGCCCCGGCCAACUACGUGCCAGCAGCCGCGGUAACACGUAGGGGGCAAGCGUUGUCCGGAUUUAUUGGGCGUAAAGAGCUCGUAGGCGGUUUCGUAAGUCGGAUGUGAAAACUCCAGGCUCAACUUGGAGACGCCAUUCGAUACUGCGAUGACUUGAGUCCGGUAGGGGAGUGUGGAAUUCCUGGUGUAGCGGUGAAAUGCGCAGAUAUCAGGAGGAACACCGGCGGCGAAGGCGGCACUCUGGGCCGGUACUGACGCUGAGGAGCGAAAGCGUGGGUAGCAAACAGGAUUAGAUACCCUGGUAGUCCACGCCGUAAACGGUGGGCACUAGGUGUGGGAUUCACUCAACGGAUUCCGUGCCGCAGCUAACGCAUUAAGUGCCCCGCCUGGGGAGUACGG
This 639-nucleotide ribosomal RNA is filed under the name uncultured Actinomycetes bacterium. RNAcentral's name for it is "bacterial SSU rRNA". It matches the Rfam family "Bacterial small subunit ribosomal RNA", at positions 232 to 885 of the family's 1533-position model. The record is from RNAcentral. Lineage: Bacteria; Bacillati; Actinomycetota; Actinomycetes.